Molecule: ribosomal RNA, 315 nt
Filed under: uncultured bacterium
Lineage: Bacteria
Description: bacterial SSU rRNA
Rfam family: Bacterial small subunit ribosomal RNA
Source: RNAcentral
GAUGAACGCUAGCGACAGGCUUAACACAUGCAAGUCGAGGGGCAGCGGGGAGGUAGCAAUACUUCCGCCGGCGACCGGCGCACGGGUGAGUAACACGUAUGGAACCUGCCCGUAGCAGGGGGAUAAGCGGAAGAAAUUCCGUCUAAUACCGCGUAAUAACUCCGAGAGGCAUCUCAUGGAGUUUAAAGGGUAACACCGGCUACGGAUGGCCAUGCGGCGCAUUAGCUAGUUGGCGGGGUAACGGCCCACCAAGGCGACGAUGCGUAGGGGUUCUGAGAGGAAGGUCCCCCACACUGGUACUGAGACACGGACCAG